RNAcentral lists this transfer RNA (76 nucleotides) under Meiothermus sp. Its description in RNAcentral is "tRNA-Thr". It matches the Rfam family "tRNA". From Rfam's summary of the family: Transfer RNA (tRNA) molecules are approximately 80 nucleotides in length. Their secondary structure includes four short double-helical elements and three loops (D, anti-codon, and T loops). The record is from RNAcentral. RNAcentral also lists the same sequence under 1 other name. Lineage: Bacteria; Thermotogati; Deinococcota; Deinococci; Thermales; Thermaceae.
GCCACCCUAGCUCAGACGGUAGAGCACCCGGUUCGUACCCGGAAGGUUGCCGGUUCAAAUCCGGCGGGUGGCUCCA